ACACUACCUACAAAAGCAACAAACUCUACAUUGACAUAUUUUUGGUAUUUUGGUUAGUAAGUAAUGAAAAACAAAGUAUGAUACAAUCUAAAGUGCUUGGUGACCUUUCCCAAUCCAAGCCCAAUGAAUGAGGGGUAAGGAAGAUGCCAAGGUGUAAUCCCAAUACUAAUUCAUAUGAUGAGAUAGCAUGAGGGAUCUUAGGGUCAAAAUUGGGGUCUUACAGCUGC
This 227-nucleotide long non-coding RNA is filed under the name Lathyrus oleraceus (garden pea). RNAcentral's name for it is "Pisum sativum (pea) long non-coding RNA (PSAT_LNC031443)". Lineage: Eukaryota; Viridiplantae; Streptophyta; Magnoliopsida; Fabales; Fabaceae. The record is from RNAcentral.